RNAcentral lists this microRNA precursor (205 nucleotides) under Oryza sativa Japonica Group (Japanese rice). RNAcentral describes it as "MIR812 microRNA precursor family". It matches the Rfam family "MIR812 microRNA precursor family". Lineage: Eukaryota; Viridiplantae; Streptophyta; Magnoliopsida; Poales; Poaceae. The record is from Rfam by way of RNAcentral.
AAAAAGACAAACCCUGGUUUCCGUGUCCAACGUUUGACCGUCCGUCUUAUUUGAAAAAAAUAUAAAAAAAAUUAAAAAGACAAGUCACAUAUAAAAUAUUAAUCAUGUUUUAUCAUCUAACAACAAUAAAAAUACGAAUUAUAAAAAAAUUUCAUAUAAGACGGACAGUCAAAGUUGGACACGGAAACCCAGGGUUUGCCUUUUU